Molecule: ribosomal RNA, 1462 nt
Filed under: metagenome
Description: bacterial SSU rRNA
Rfam family: Bacterial small subunit ribosomal RNA
Source: RNAcentral
AGAGUUUGAUCCUGGCUCAGAGCGAACGCUAGCGGCGGGCUUAACACAUGCAAGUCGAGCGGAGGGGCAACCCUUAGCGGCGAACGGGUGAGUAACGCGUAGGUAACGUGCCUUCAGGUGGGGAACAACCGUGGGAAACCAUGGCUAAUACCGCAUAAUGUCGAAAGAUGAAAGCCUUCGGGCGCCUGGAGAGCGGCCUGCGUCCCAUUACCUAGUUGGUAGGGUAACGGCCUACCAAGGGAACGAUGGGUAGCUGGUCUAAGAGGAUGAUCAGCCACACUGGAACUGAGACACGGUCCAGACUCCUACGGGAGGCAGCAGUGGGGAAUAUUGCGCAAUGGGGGAAACCCUGACGCAGCCACGCCGCGUGAGUGAAGAAGGCCUUCGGGUCGUAAAGCUCUGUCGGGAGAGACGAAGGGGUAAAACUCUGACGGUAUCUCGCAAGAAAGCACCGGCUAACUCUGUGCCAGCAGCCGCAGUAAUACAGAGGGUGCAAGCGUUGCUCGGAUUUACUGGGCGUAAAGCGUACGCAGACGGACCGUCAAGUCGGGAGUGAAAGCCCUGGGCUCAACCCAGGAACGGCUUUCGAUACUAGCGGUCUUGAGUUUGGGAGAGGGAAGCGGAAUUCCUGGUGUAGAGGUGAAAUUCGUAGAUAUCAGGAGGAACACCGGCGGCGAAGGCGGCUUCCUGGCCCAAUACUGACGUUCAGGUACGAAAGCGUGGGUAGCAAACAGGAUUAGAUACCCUGGUAGUCCACGCUGUAAACGAUGAGUGCUGGAUGUCGGAGGUAUUCACCCCUUCGGUAUCGAAGCUAACGCGUUAAGCACUCCGCCUGGGGAGUACGGCCGCAAGGUUGAAACUCAAAGGAAUUGACGGGGGCCCGCACAAGCGGUGGAGUAUGUGGUUUAAUUCGACUACGCGCAGAACCUUACCCAGCCUUGACAUCCUUGGAACCGAGUGGAAACACUUGGGUGCUCUCGCAAGAGAGAGCCAGGAGACAGGUGCUGCAUGGCUGUCUUCAGCUCGUGUCGUGAGAUGUUCGGUUAAGUCCGGCAACGAGCGCAACCCCUGUCUUCAGUUGCCAUCAUUUAGUUGGGCACUCUGGAGAGACUGCCGGCGUCAAGCCGGAGGAAGGUGGGGAUGACGUCAAGUCCUCAUGGCCUUUAUGGUUGGGGCUACACACGUACUACAAUGAUGACUACAAAGGGCAGCCAACCCGCGAGGGGGAGCAAAUCCCAAAAAAGUCAUCUCAGUUCGGAUUGCAGUCUGCAACUCGACUGCAUGAAGUCGGAAUCGCUAGUAAUCGCGGAUCAGCAUGCCGCGGUGAAUACGUUCCCGGGCCUUGUACACACCGCCCGUCACACCACGAAAGUUGGAUGGACCCGAAGUCGCUGCUCCGACCCGCAAGGGGGGAAGGCGCCAACGGUCUGUUCGAUGAUUGGGGUGAAGUCGAAACAAGGUA